UACGGGGGGGGCAAGCGUUGUUCGGAAUUACUGGGCGUAAAGGGCUCGUAGGCGGCCAACUAAGUCGGACGUGAAAGCCCUCGGCUCAACUGAGGAACUGCGUCCGAUACUGGAUGGCUUGAGAUCGGGAGAGGGAUGUGGAAUUCCAGGUGUAGCGGUGAAAUGCGUAGAUAUCUGGAGGAACACCGGUGGCGAAGGCGGCAUCCUGGACCGACACUGACGCUGAUGAGCGAAAGCCAGGGGAGCAAACGGG
RNAcentral lists this ribosomal RNA (253 nucleotides) under uncultured bacterium. RNAcentral's name for it is "partial 16S ribosomal RNA". It matches the Rfam family "Bacterial small subunit ribosomal RNA", at positions 524 to 776 of the family's 1533-position model. The record is from RNAcentral.